AUUGAACGCUGGCGGAAUGCUUUACACAUGCAAGUCGAACGGCAGCACGGACUUCGGUCUGGUGGCGAGUGGCGAACGGGUGAGUAAUGUAUCGGAACGUGCCCAGUCGUGGGGGAUAACGUAGUGAAAAUUACGCUAAUACCGCAUACGAUCUAUGGAUGAAAGCGGGGGAUCGCAAGACCUCGCGCGAUUGGAGCGGCCGAUAUCAGAUUAGGUAGGUGGUGGGGUAAAAGCCCACCAAGCCAACGAUCUGUAGAUGGUCUGAGAGGGCGACCAGCCACACUGGAACUGCGACACGGUCCAGACUCCUACGGGAGGCAGCAGUGGGGAAUUUUGGACAUUGGGCGAAAGCCUGAUCCAGCCAUUCCGCGUGCAGGAUGAAGGCCCUCGGGUUGUAAACUGCUUUUGUACAGAACGAAAAGGUUUCUACUAAUACUAGGAGCUCAUGACGGUACUGUAAGAAUAAGCACCGGCUAACUACGUGCCAGCCGCCGCCGUAA
Molecule: ribosomal RNA, 500 nt
Filed under: uncultured bacterium
Lineage: Bacteria
Description: partial 16S ribosomal RNA
Rfam family: Bacterial small subunit ribosomal RNA
Source: RNAcentral